RNAcentral lists this ribosomal RNA (534 nucleotides) under Strophosoma capitatum. Its description in RNAcentral is "partial 16S large subunit ribosomal RNA". It matches the Rfam family "Bacterial large subunit ribosomal RNA", at positions 1819 to 2625 of the family's 2925-position model. Lineage: Eukaryota; Metazoa; Arthropoda; Insecta; Coleoptera; Curculionidae. The record is from RNAcentral.
GGCUUUUCGAGUAUAAUUUAAGGUCUGGCCUGCCCAAUGAGUUUUAAAUGGCCGCGGUAUUUUGACCGUGCAAAGGUAGCAUAAUCAUUAGUUUUUUAAUUGAAAGCUGGAAUGAAAGGUCGGAUGAGAAAAUAACUGUCUCUGUAAAAAUUAAUUAGAAUUUUAUAUUUAAGUUAAAAAGCUUAAAUUUAGCUAGAAGACGAGAAGACCCUAUAGAGUUUUAUUUAUUUUUGUUUGAAAAUUUUUAGUAUUAAAUAUUUUUUCAUUAAAAUAAAUUUGGUUGGGGUGAUCGAAAAACUUAUUAAACUUUUUUUAAUUUUUUACAUUAAUUUAUGAAUGUUUGAUCCUUUAAUAAAGAUUAUAAGAUAAAAUUACCUUAGGGAUAACAGCGUAAUUUUUUUAAAGAGUUCUAAUCGAAAAAAAAGAUUGCGACCUCGAUGUUGGAUUAAAAUAAAAUUUUGGUGUAGAAGCUAAAAUAUUUAGGUCUGUUCGACCUUUGAAAUUUUACAUGAUCUGAGUUUAGACCGGCGUGAG